UGACAAAAUAACCAUAUUUCUAAGAUAACUAGUCACCACAAUGAGUUCAUGUGACAAUGUAGCAUUCUAUUGUUUGAAAGAGUUGCAUACUGUUUUUUGUGCAAUUCCAUAAAGAAUAGCAUGCAGUGUGAAGUACAUACUGUGCAGCAAGCAGUAUGUUAGGAUUGUAUUCUGAGCCUUUGUGUGUGCUCACACAAGUUCAAAUAUCUCCCCCUCCUAAUGUGAAAGUCCUUGUGUCCUCUCCACAGAUCCGUGAAGAGCUCUCUGCUCCAUCUUCAGCUGCCUGAGACGUGAACCCCAGAAAGACUCUUAAUGAAUCAGUUUUCGCCGCUCGAUGCCAUGGCGUUCAACCGGUGGCUUUUAUAAUUCUCUCUGAAGGACGGAUCUUCAGGUCUAGUCGAGCGUCGUGGGAGAGUUACAGAGGAAACAUCACGCUGCCGAAGAUCCCCGAGUCUAACAUGGCUCUGAGCGUGUUAGGCGUGUUUCUGGGAUUGCUUCUGGAAGUUUCCACACACGGACCCUCCAGCGUUCCCAGAAGCUCAUGGAGGCACGACGGUGAGUGAAGGGUUAAAGUUUUACAUCAAAAAAUGUAAUGGGUGUGAAGCACGUG
This 610-nucleotide long non-coding RNA is filed under the name Sinocyclocheilus anshuiensis. RNAcentral's name for it is "lncRNA (ENSSANG00000036279.1)". The record is from RNAcentral. Lineage: Eukaryota; Metazoa; Chordata; Actinopteri; Cypriniformes; Cyprinidae.